CCGAUAGAUUCCCUCUUCAAUCAGAUCUAUAAAAGGCCCAAUAAAGAGCCAAUCACCUUCAAUCGAUUUUUUCUUUCUCGAAUUUCGAUUUCUAGGGUUCUUCCGCUUUCCUCUCUCACCCAAUUAUCAUCAUGUCGUCCAAACAAGGUGGAAAGGCGAAACCUUUGAAGCAACCCAAGGCCGAUAAGAAAGAGUACGAUGAGACUGACCUAGCAAAUAUUCAGAAGAAGAAAGAGGAGGAAAAGGCUUUGAAGGAGCUGAAGGCGAAGGCAUCUCAGAAGGGAGCCUUCGGAGGGUCUGGGCUCAAGAAGAGCGGGAAGAAAUAACUACAACCUAUCUUUGUACUAAUGUUAGGAAAAUGGCAAAUUACUUUAUGGAUCCCCCCACCUACUUACGUAUUUGGCUUUUAUUAUGUGAAACCUUGGUAUUGUGAAUCUGCGUAAUGCUUCUACUUACCAAAUGUUAUUCAAAAUAAAGGCGUGCUGCUACUGAAACAGAAGUUUGUCAUAUAGUUAUUUAUUUGUGAUGUGGUUUUAAUUCUGGCUUUGAUGAUGAA
Asparagus officinalis (garden asparagus) is the source of this 556-nucleotide long non-coding RNA. RefSeq lists it as uncharacterized. The record is from RefSeq and is a predicted model, not a curated record. The transcript is spliced from 4 exons. Lineage: Eukaryota; Viridiplantae; Streptophyta; Magnoliopsida; Asparagales; Asparagaceae.